Molecule: ribosomal RNA, 253 nt
Filed under: uncultured bacterium
Lineage: Bacteria
Description: partial 16S ribosomal RNA
Rfam family: Bacterial small subunit ribosomal RNA
Source: RNAcentral
UACGUAGGGUGCGAGCGUUAAUCGGAAUUACUGGGCGUAAAGCGUGCGCAGGCGGUUCGUUGUGUCGGUGGUGAAAUCCCCGGGCUUAACCUGGGAAUGGCCAUGGAAACUGGCGAACUGGAGUGCGGCAGAGGGGGGUGGAAUUCCGCGUGUAGCAGUGAAAUGCGUAGAGAUCUGGAGGAACACCGGUGGCGAAGGCGGCCCCCUGGUUCGAUACUGACGCUGAGGUGCGAAAGCGUGGGGAGCAAACAGG